Molecule: ribosomal RNA, 301 nt
Filed under: uncultured bacterium
Lineage: Bacteria
Description: partial 16S ribosomal RNA
Rfam family: Bacterial small subunit ribosomal RNA
Source: RNAcentral
CAGCAGCCGCGGUAAUACGUAGGUGGCAAGCGUUAUCCGGAAUUAUUGGGCGUAAAGCGCGCGUAGGCGGUUUUUUAAGUCUGAUGUGAAAGCCCACGGCUCAACCGUGGAGGGUCAUUGGAAACUGGAAAACUUGAGUGCAGAAGAGGAAAGUGGAAUUCCAUGUGUAGCGGUGAAAUGCGCAGAGAUAUGGAGGAACACCAGUGGCGAAGGCGACUUUCUGGUCUGUAACUGACGCUGAUGUGCGAAAGCGUGGGGAUCAAACAGGAUUAGAUACCCGCGUAGUCCCUGUCUCUUAUAU